Molecule: ribosomal RNA, 491 nt
Filed under: uncultured bacterium
Lineage: Bacteria
Description: partial 16S ribosomal RNA
Rfam family: Bacterial small subunit ribosomal RNA
Source: RNAcentral
AGUGAACGCUGGCGGUAGGCCUAACACAUGCAAGUCGAACGGCAGCACAGUAAGAGCUUGCUCUUACGGGUGGCGAGUGGCGGACGGGUGAGGAAUACAUCGGAAUCUACUUUUUCGUGGGGGAUAACGUAGGGAAACUUACGCUAAUACCGCAUACGACCUACGGGUGAAAGCAGGGGAUCUUCGACCUUGCGCGAUUGAAUGAGCCGAUGUCGGAUUAGCUAGUUGGCGGGGUAAAGGCCCACCAAGGCGACGAUCCGUAGCUGGGCUGAGAGGAUGAUCAGCCACACUGGAACUGAGACACGGUCCAGACUCCUACGGGAGGCAGCAGUGGGGAAUAUUGGACAAUGGGCGCAAGCCUGAUCCAGCCAUACCGCGUGGGUGAAGAAGGCCUUCGGGUUGUAAAGCCCUUUUGUUGGGAAAGAAAAGCAGCAGGUUAAUACCCCGCUGUUCUGACGGUACCCAAAGAAUAAGCACCGGCUAACUUCGUG